GACGAACGCUGGCUGCGUGCUUAACACAUGCAAGUCGAACGGAAAGGCCCUGCUUUUGUGGGGUGCUCGAGUGGCGAACGGGUGAGUAACACGUGAGUAACCUGCCCUUGACUUUGGGAUAACUUCAGGAAACUGGGGCUAAUACCGGAUAGGAGCUCCUGCUGCAUGGUGGGGGUUGGAAAGUUUCGGCGGUUGGGGAUGGACUCGCGGCUUAUCAGCUUGUUGGUGGGGUAGUGGCUUACCAAGGCUUUGACGGGUAGCCGGCCUGAGAGGGUGACCGGCCACAUUGGGACUGAGAUACGGCCCAGACUCCUACGGGUGGCAGCAGUGGGGAAUAUUGCACAAUGGGCGGAAGCCUGAUGCAGCAACGCCGCGUGCGGGAUGACGGCCUUCGGGUUGUAAACCGCUUUCGCCUGUGACGAAGCGUGAGUGACGGUAAUGGGUAAAGAAGCACCGGCUAACUACGUGCCAGCAGCCGCGGUGAUACGUAGGGUGCGAGCGUUGUCCGGAUUUAUUGGGCGUAAAGGGCUCGUAGGUGGUUGAUCGCGUCGGAAGUGUAAUCUUGGGGCUUAACCCUGAGCGUGCUUUCGAUACGGGUUGACUUGAGGAAGGUAGGGGAGAAUGGAAUUCCUGGUGGAGCGGUGGAAUGCGCAGAUAUCAGGAGGAACACCAGUGGCGAAGGCGGUUCUCUGGGCCUUUCCUGACGCUGAGGAGCGAAAGCGUGGGGAGCGAACAGGCUUAGAUACCCUGGUAGUCCACGCUGUAAACGGUGGGUACUAGGUGUGGGGUCCAUUCCACGGGUUCCGUGCCGUAGCUAACGCUUUAAGUACCCCGCCUGGGGAGUACGGCCGCAAGGCUAAAACUCAAAGGAAUUGACGGGGCCCCGCACAAGCGGCGGAGCAUGCGGAUUAAUUCGAUGCAACGCGUAGAACCUUACCUGGGUUUGACAUGGAUCGGGAGCGCUCAGAGAUGGGUGUGCCUCUUUUGGGGUCGGUUCACAGGUGGUGCAUGGCUGUCGUCAGCUCGUGUCGUGAGAUGUUGGGUUAAGUCCCGCAACGAGCGCAACCCUUGUUCACUGUUGCCAGCACGUUAUGGUGGGGACUCAGUGGAGACCGCCGGGGUCAACUCGGAGGAAGAUGGGGAUGACGUCAAGUCAUCAUGCCCCUUAUGUCCAGGGCUUCACGCAUGCUACAAUGGCUGGUACAGAGAGUGGCGAGCCUGUGAGGGUGAGCGAAUCUCGGAAAGCCGGUCUCAGUUCGGAUUGGGGUCUGCAACUCGACCUCAUGAAGUCGGAGUCGCUAGUAAUCGCAGAUCAGCAACGCUGCGGUGAAUACGUUCCCGGG
This 1343-nucleotide ribosomal RNA is filed under the name uncultured bacterium. RNAcentral's name for it is "16S ribosomal RNA". It matches the Rfam family "Bacterial small subunit ribosomal RNA", at positions 28 to 1378 of the family's 1533-position model. The record is from RNAcentral.